This is a non-coding RNA of Fukomys damarensis (Damara mole-rat), 548 nucleotides long. NCBI's taxonomy places the organism in Eukaryota, Metazoa, Chordata, Mammalia, Rodentia, Bathyergidae. The record is from the annotation of a RefSeq genome assembly.
CCCAGGUUUCCCAGCUGCCCCUACUCAGUGAUCAGGAUUGAGCACAGACAGCUCACCAUGGAGGUUAUGCUUAGCUGGGUUUUCCUUGUUGCUGUACUAAAAGGUGCCCAGGCUGAGGUGCCGCUGGUGGAGUCCGGGGGAGACUUGGUGCAGCCUGGAGAGUCCCUGAAACUCUCCUGUGAAGCCUCAGGAUUCACCUUCAGUAGCUACUGGAUGAGCUGGAUCUGCCAGGCUCCAGGAAAGGGGCUGGAGUGGGUUGGAAACAUUAACACAAAUGGUGGUAGUGCAUACUACCCAGAUUCCGUGAAGGGCCGAUUCACCAUCUCCAGAAACAAUGCCAAGAACACUCUGCAUCUGCAAAUGAACAGCCUGAGAACUAAGGACAUGGCCAUGUAUUACUGUGCAAGAGACACAGUGAGGGGACCUCAGUGUGACCCCAGACACAAACCUCCCUGCAGGGGCAUUCAGAGCCAGUAGGGGGCGUUGGGGAUACAGAGAGAACCAAGAUGUUUUCUUGUUAGGAUCUGAGUCUUCUUUUCAACAUAAUA